GAUGAACGCUAGCUACAGGCUUAACACAUGCAAGUCGAGGGGAAACGCUGAGAGAGCUUGCUCUCUUAGGCGUCGACCGGCGCACGGGUGAGUAACGCGUAUCCAACCUACCCAUUACAGGGGGAUAACCUUGCGAAAGUAAGACUAAUACCCCAUGGCAUUUUAUGGUGGCAUCAUUAUAGGCUUAAAGAUUUAUUGGUAAUGGAUGGGGAUGCGUCUGAUUAGCUUGUUGGCGGGGUAACGGCCCACCAAGGCAACGAUCAGUAGGGGUUCUGAGAGGAAGGUCCCCCACAUUGGAACUGAGACACAGUCCAAACUCCUACGGGAGGCAGCAGUGAGGAAGAUUGGGCAAGGGGCGAGAGCUUGAACCAGCCAAGUAGCGUGCAGGAGGACGGCGCUAUGGGUGGUAAACUGCUUUUAGAGGGGAAUAAAGUGAGAUACGUGUAGUUUAUUGCAGGUACCCUAUGAAUAAGGACCGGCUAAUUCCGUG
Molecule: ribosomal RNA, 490 nt
Filed under: uncultured bacterium
Lineage: Bacteria
Description: partial 16S ribosomal RNA
Rfam family: Bacterial small subunit ribosomal RNA
Source: RNAcentral